AUACAUUAGGCGCAAGCGUUAUCCGGUAUUAUUGGGCGUAAAGCGUGCGUAGGCGGUUUAUUAAGUCUGAUGUUAAAUCCCACCGCUCAAAUGUGGGCUGCCAUUGGACACUGGUAGACUUGAGCACGGUAGAGGUAAGUGGAUUUCCAAGUGGAGCGGUGGAAUGCGUAGAUAUUUGGAGGAACACUAGUGCCGAAGGCGGCUGACUGGGCGGGUACUACCGCUGAGGCACGAAAGCGUGGGAAGCAAACAUGAUUAGAUACCCUGGUAGUCCACGCCGGAAACGAUGAGCCCUAAGUGUCGGAUGAAUUUUCGGCGCUGCAGUUAACGCAAUAAGUGCUCCGCCUGGGGAGUACGGUCGCAAGACUGAAACUCAAAGGAAUUGACGGGG
This 391-nucleotide ribosomal RNA is filed under the name uncultured bacterium. RNAcentral's name for it is "partial 16S ribosomal RNA". It matches the Rfam family "Bacterial small subunit ribosomal RNA", at positions 523 to 918 of the family's 1533-position model. The record is from RNAcentral.